GGUAGUGUGGCCAAGUGGUCUAAGGCACUUGAUUUAGACUCUAGUUUCUAAGGAGUUGAGAGUUCAAAUCCCAGCAUCA
Non-coding RNA from Caranx melampygus (bluefin trevally), 79 nucleotides. The record is from the annotation of a GenBank genome assembly. NCBI's taxonomy places the organism in Eukaryota, Metazoa, Chordata, Actinopteri, Carangiformes, Carangidae.